GAAUUCGAUUAACGCGAAGAACCUUACCUGGGCUUGAACGGCAACUGACAUUCUACGAAAGUAGGCUCCCGCAAGGGCAGUUGUCGAGGUGCUGCAUGGCUGUCGUCAGCUCGUGUCGUGAGAUGUUGGGUUAAGUCCCGCAACGAGCGCAACCCUUGUCCUGUGUUGCAAACCCCUUAAAAGGUGCACUCUCAGGAGACCGCCAGCGAUAAGUUGGAGGAAGGUGGGGAUGACGUCAAGUCAUCAUGGCCUUUAUGUCCAGGGCUACACACGUGCUACAAUGGUCGGUACAAAGCGCUGCAAACCCGCGAGGGGAAGCUAAUCGCAAAAAACCGAUCUCAGUUCGGAUUGCAGGCUGCAACCCGCCUGCAUGAAGCUGGAAUCGCUAGUAAUGGCGUAUCAGAACGACGCCGUGAAUACGUUCCCGGGCCUUGUCACACCGAAUCACUA
RNAcentral lists this ribosomal RNA (450 nucleotides) under uncultured soil bacterium. Its description in RNAcentral is "bacterial SSU rRNA". It matches the Rfam family "Bacterial small subunit ribosomal RNA", at positions 947 to 1384 of the family's 1533-position model. The record is from RNAcentral.